GAGUUUGAUCGUGGCUCAGGAUGAACGCUGGCGGCGUGCCUAAUACAUGCAAGUCGAACGAACAGAUAAGGAGCUUGCUCCUUUGACGUUAGCGGCGGACGGGUGAGUAACACGUGGGUAACCUACCUAUAAGACUGGGAAUAACUCCGGGAAACCGGGGCUAAUGCCGGAUAACAUGUUGAACCGCAUGGUUCUACAGUGAAAGACGGUCUUGCUGUCACUUAUAGAUGGACCCGCGCCGUAUUAGCUAGUUGGUGGGGUAACGGCCUACCAAGGCGACGAUACGUAGCCGGACCUGAGAGGGUGAUCGGCCACACUGGAACUGAGACACGGUCCAGACUCCUACGGGAGGCAGCAGUAGGGAAUCUUCCGCAAGUGGGCGAAAGCCUGACGGAGCAACGCCGCGUGAGUGAUG
RNAcentral lists this ribosomal RNA (415 nucleotides) under uncultured microorganism. Its description in RNAcentral is "bacterial SSU rRNA". It matches the Rfam family "Bacterial small subunit ribosomal RNA", at positions 9 to 410 of the family's 1533-position model. The record is from RNAcentral.